ACGGGUGAGUAACACGUGAGUAACCUGCCCUUGACUCUGGGAUAACCUCCGGAAACGGAAGCUAAUACCGGAUACGACGUACGGAGGCAUCUCCUGUACGUGGAAGAACUUCGGUCAAGGAUGGACUCGCGGCCUAUCAGGUAGUUGGUGAGGUAACGGCUCACCAAGCCUACGACGGGUAGCCGGCCUGAGAGGGUGACCGGCCACACUGGGACUGAGACACGGCCCAGACUCCUACGGGAGGCAGCAGUGGGGAAUAUUGCACAAUGGGCGCAAGCCUGAUGCAGCAACGCCGCGUGAGGGAUGACGGCCUUCGGGUUGUAAACCUCCUUUAGUAGGGAAGAAGCGAAAGUGACGGUACCUGCAGAAAAAGCACCGGCUAACUACGUGCCAGCAGCCGCGGUAAUACGUAGGGUGCGAGCGUUGUCCGGAAUUAUUGGGCGUAAAGAGCUCGUAGGCGGUCUGUCGCGUCUGCUGUGAAAACCCGAGGCUCAACCUCGGGCCUGCAGUGGGUACGGGCAGACUAGAGUGCGGUAGGGGAGAAUGGAAUUCCUGGUGUAGCGGUGGAAUGCGCAGA
Molecule: ribosomal RNA, 577 nt
Filed under: uncultured bacterium
Lineage: Bacteria
Description: bacterial SSU rRNA
Rfam family: Bacterial small subunit ribosomal RNA
Source: RNAcentral